CUUUUUUGAAAAAGAUGAGGAAAUUCCACAACAUUUAACAAUUUUCCUUUGAUUUCACAGGUUUGAUUUUUUCCCCUGAAGUUCUCAUCAUUUUUCUAUACACUGACUACUACUUUCAUAGCAAACUUUCUCUCAGAUGGGCAUUUCAGGACAUGAGAAUUUUCAUUUGGAAAAGCAUUGAAAUUCAUGAAUGAACUCUGUUGCUCCUGUCUGAAGUGGUGGUUUACUGGGGCAUAGAGCCAGUCUAGCUGCUAGCUGGCCCUACAAGAUGAAGUUGCAGCCUUCCUCCUCCUCACUUUGCACUUCUGAGGCUCACCUUUCUCCCCAGACCCAGCUGAUUCACUCACUGCAUGGGUUGCUAAGAAGGCAAGAAAAAAGUAGAAAACUCCCCUCCUGUCUGAUUCAGCUCUCAGGAGUCUGGAAUACAUCAUCACCAAUACUGAAGAAUUUAAGUCUCCAUACAGAGUAAGCCCGUCUUUAUCUUAAAAACUUCUUGUAGUGCCAGCCCCGUAAUGAACCACCUUGCCCUCACCAGUCAUCAAUCUUUAUCACAGCUGCAGUCCCCUGGACUGCUGAAAAUAUCAGUCCUGGCAGAGGAAAUUGUUAGGAAAUAUUUGUGUCUGUUUGGAGUGAAGGAAG
Molecule: long non-coding RNA, 639 nt
Filed under: Cyanistes caeruleus (blue tit)
Lineage: Eukaryota; Metazoa; Chordata; Aves; Passeriformes; Paridae
Description: lncRNA (ENSCCEG00000003214.1)
Source: RNAcentral